Molecule: non-coding RNA, 85 nt
Organism: Gossypium arboreum
Lineage: Eukaryota; Viridiplantae; Streptophyta; Magnoliopsida; Malvales; Malvaceae
Source: Rfam
CCUGGGGGAGCGCUUUGUCCAGGUCAGCAAAAAAUGCAUCCUUGAGGGCGCGCUUUGCUGACUUGGACAAAACGCUCCCCCAGGG